CUAUGACUUUUUGUCAUGGCGGAAGGAG
Molecule: non-coding RNA, 28 nt
Filed under: unclassified sequences
Source: RNAcentral